GGAUUAGAUACCCUGGUAGUCCAUGCCGUAAACGUUGGGCGCUAGGUGUGGGCCUCAUUCCACGAGGUCUGUGCCGCAGCUAACGCAUUAAGCGCCCCGCCUGGGGAGUACGGCCGCAAGGCUAAAACUCAAAGGAAUUGACGGGGGCCCGCACAAGCGGCGGAGCAUGCGGAUUAAUUCGAUGCAACGCGAAGAACCUUACCAAGGCUUGACAUAUACCGGACGCACUCAGAGAUGGGUGUUCCCUUUGUGGCUGGUAUACAGGUGGUGCAUGGUUGUCGUCAGCUCGUGCCG
RNAcentral lists this ribosomal RNA (294 nucleotides) under uncultured bacterium. RNAcentral describes it as "partial 16S ribosomal RNA". It matches the Rfam family "Bacterial small subunit ribosomal RNA", at positions 775 to 1067 of the family's 1533-position model. The record is from RNAcentral.